Molecule: ribosomal RNA, 1047 nt
Filed under: Cellana nigrlineata
Lineage: Eukaryota; Metazoa; Mollusca; Gastropoda; Nacellidae
Description: partial 28S ribosomal RNA
Rfam family: Eukaryotic large subunit ribosomal RNA
Source: RNAcentral
GGCCUUUAACUUCGAUCGUGCCUUCCGGCAAUGCACAGGUAGCCAAGAGUAGAGUUGUUUGGGAUCGCAGCUCAAAGUGGGUGGUAAGCUCCAUCUGAGGCUAAAUACCGGCGCGAGUCCGAUAGCAAACAAGUACCGUGAGGGAAAGUUGAAAAGAACUUUGAAGAGAGAGUUCAAAAGACCGUGAAAGCGCCUACGGGCAAACGGGAGGAACCGCCUUUUGCAAUCAACGGAAUCCAACUCCCCGCACUGAUUGGCGAGGGCUCCUGUCGGACCAAUCCUUCUCGGAGGACGGGACGACACCUGCUCUGCGUCUGUCACCGAGAGUGUAUCUUCCGUCUGAUUGCCAGUCGCGACAGUUUCGGCGCACUUCGUAUCGGUAGGGGAUAGGUUUCGGAGCUGCUUGUCAGCUUUUCGACUACCUUCCUCGGCCGCUUAAGGCGGACGUUGCGCCAGGCCUAGGAACGGCCCUGCAUUGCUCUCGUUUUUUUAAACGAGUUUGGAUGUGGUCAAGGGUCAGCGACUUGCCGUGUCGGCACUCUUCCCGACCCGUCUUGAAACACGGACCAAGGAGUCUAACGUAGUCGCGAGUCUUCGGGUAGUCAAUCCUGCUGGCGCAAUGAAAGUGAUUUGGCCCGAUUCAUGUAAAUGACGCAGGGCCGGCCCGUCGGGGGUUGUCACGGCCCCGGCGGAGCUAGAGCGACUGUGUUGGGACCCGAAAGAUGGUGAACUAGGCCCGAGCAGGACAAAGCCGGGAGAAAUGCUGGUGGCGGUCCUCAGUGGUUCUGACGCGCAAAUCGAUCACGAAACUUGGGCGUAGGGGCGAAAGACUAAUCGAACCAUCUAGUAGCUGGUUCCCUCCGAAGUUUCCCCCAGGAUAGCUGGCACUCGAAGAGACAGUUUCGUCCGGUAAAGCGAAUGAUUAGAGGAGUCCGUGCCGAAAUGGUGUGGAGCUAUUGUCAAACUUUGAACGGGCGCAAAGGGGAGCCUACCACUCAGACUUGGGAGGCUGGCCCCCGUCGAAAUGUACGAGUGCCAAGUGGGCCA